This 29-nucleotide small RNA is filed under the name Bombyx mori (domestic silkworm). RNAcentral's name for it is "ovarian small RNA-16794". Lineage: Eukaryota; Metazoa; Arthropoda; Insecta; Lepidoptera; Bombycidae. The record is from RNAcentral.
GCGACACGAGCACCGGUUCCCUCGUUCAU